GACGAACGCUGGCGGCGUGCCUAAUACAUGCAAGUCGAACGAAGCUGUUUUAACUGGUGCUUGCACCGACUUAAACAACUGAGUGGCGAACGGGUGAGUAACACGUGGGUAACCUGCCCCAAAGCGGGGGAUAACAUUUGGAAACAGAUGCUAAUACCGCAUAACCACAGAAACCACAUGGUUUCUGUGUCAAAGAUGGUUUCGGCUAUCACUUUGGGAUGGACCCGCGGCGUAUUAGCUAGUUGGUAAGGUAGUGGCUUACCAAGGCAAUGAGACGUAGCCGAACUGAGAGGUUGAUCGGCCACAUUGGGACGGAGACAGGGCCCAAACUCCUACGGGAGGCAGCAGUAGGGAAUCUUCCACAAUGGACGAAAGUCUGAUGGAGCAACGCCGCGUGAGUGAAGAAGGUUUUCGGAUCGUAAAACUCUGUUGUCAGAGAAGAACGUGUGCGAGAGUAACUGUUCGUGCAGUGACGGUAUCUGGCCAGAAAGCCACGGCUAACUACGUGCCAGCAGCCGCCGCAG
This 524-nucleotide ribosomal RNA is filed under the name uncultured bacterium. Its description in RNAcentral is "partial 16S ribosomal RNA". It matches the Rfam family "Bacterial small subunit ribosomal RNA", at positions 28 to 523 of the family's 1533-position model. The record is from RNAcentral.